RNAcentral lists this long non-coding RNA (253 nucleotides) under Mytilus galloprovincialis (Mediterranean mussel). The record is from RNAcentral. Lineage: Eukaryota; Metazoa; Mollusca; Bivalvia; Mytilida; Mytilidae.
CAGCCUCAUAUGUUAAUACAUCAUGAUGAGAUUUACCUUUUGUCCAAAUAAGGUCAUGAUAUCUUUUAAAACAACGAGGGAGGACUAUGUUGAAAAAAAUCAAUAAAAGGGAGAUAACUUCUAAAGGGGAUGAUGAAAUCCUACAAAAGUUAAUCUUGUAAAAGUUUAUGAUGGGGUCUAUCGAGGGUCCAUAUUUGGUCUUGAUAACUUCUACAGAAACGUGGGGAGGGCAUGCCAAAAAAAUGUUGGAAGA